RNAcentral lists this ribosomal RNA (216 nucleotides) under uncultured Glomeromycotina. Its description in RNAcentral is "partial small subunit ribosomal RNA". The stretch from base 47 to 216 matches the Rfam family "Eukaryotic small subunit ribosomal RNA", at positions 693 to 864 of the family's 1831-position model. The record is from RNAcentral. Lineage: Eukaryota; Fungi; Glomeromycota.
GGAUCAAUUGAUUGGUCAUGCCGUUGGUGUGUACUGGUCAUAUUGGUUCUCACCUUCUAAGGAACCAUAAUGUCAUUAAUUUGAUGUUUUGGGGGAUUAGGACUGUUACCUUGAAAAAAUUAGAGUGUUUAAAGCAGGCUAACGCUUGAAUACAUUAGCAUGGAAUAAUGAAAUAGGACGUUUGAUUCUAUUUUGUUGGUUUCUAGGAUCGACGUA